Molecule: non-coding RNA, 87 nt
Organism: Mycena rebaudengoi
Lineage: Eukaryota; Fungi; Basidiomycota; Agaricomycetes; Agaricales; Mycenaceae
Source: the annotation of a GenBank genome assembly
GGCCUAAUAGCGAAAUUGACAUCGCAUCCACUGCCGUUGGAGAAUUUCUGUGACGGGAAGUCCCUCGUUCAAAUCGAGGUUAGGUCA